This 507-nucleotide ribosomal RNA is filed under the name Sturnus vulgaris (Common starling). RNAcentral describes it as "partial 16S ribosomal RNA". It matches the Rfam family "Bacterial large subunit ribosomal RNA", at positions 1854 to 2569 of the family's 2925-position model. The record is from RNAcentral. Lineage: Eukaryota; Metazoa; Chordata; Aves; Passeriformes; Sturnidae.
GAUGCCUGCCCGGUGACCUGACGUUUAACGGCCGCGGUAUCCUAACCGUGCAAAGGUAGCGCAAUCAAUUGUCCCAUAAAUCGAGACUAGUAUGAAUGGCUAAACGAGGUCUUAACUGUCUCUUGCAGGCAAUCGGUGAAAUUGAUCUCCCUGUGCGAAAGCAGGGAUAAACCCAUAAGACGAGAAGACCCUGUGGAACUUCAAAACCAGCGGCCACCCCAAAAUACAUAACCCCCCACUGGGCUCACUUAUUCACUAAGCCACUGGCCCGCGUUUUUCGGUUGGGGCGACCUUGGAGAAAAACAAAUCCUCCAAAAAUUAGACCAUCCCUCUAGACUGAGAGCAACCCCUCAACGUGCUAAUAGCAACCAGACCCAAUAUAAUUGAUCUAUGGACCAAGCUACCCCAGGGAUAACAGCGCAAUCUCCCCCGAGAGUCCGUAUCGACGGGGAGGUUUACGACCUCGAUGUUGGAUCAGGACAUCCUAGUGGUGCAGCCGCUACUAAG